RNAcentral lists this long non-coding RNA (696 nucleotides) under Equus caballus (horse). RNAcentral's name for it is "lncRNA (ENSECAG00000048846.1)". Lineage: Eukaryota; Metazoa; Chordata; Mammalia; Perissodactyla; Equidae. The record is from RNAcentral.
CGGACCCAUUUCAAGCUUACCUCAGAGCCCUUAGCCCUUACCUCACAUGCUAGGCAGCACACUUGCAGAGUUGCAAGGCAUGGUACAGGAGCUGGGCCAGGCCAGGCCGGGGCUGUAAGCACAGUGGGCCCUGUAGAAGGCACAGGGGAUGUGCAGUGACAAAUCAAAGAGAAGAUACUGCAGAAGGAAACUUGAGAGCUGAGAAACACUUCUUUUUGGAUUUGAAUAGUCCAUCGCUGAAAGAGGCCUAAACUUGAAGACUCUCAAGGAAUUGCAGAAGGUAGCCACUGCCUGGAACAUGGCAAGAUCAUAACACGUGCAGUUGCGAGGAAGAAAGACUUUCAGAGUACGUGGACAGAAGAGGAGUACAAGCAGGAUCCUGUGAAGAGGGGUGGCAGCAGGUGGAGGAACGGAGGUUGGUGGAUAUUCUUCCAUGCAAUCAUUCAGAGAAGCAGGAUGAUGGAAGCUGUGAAAUCUUCAACAGGCAGUUUCCAAGGUCAUCCUGAGGCUCUUCUCUCUGCCCUAACCAGAAGGAAGGGGAGAAGUAUGGAGGUGCACUUACGGAAAGUUUAUAUGGUGCAGGUGUAUGAGCGGUACUUAUGUCCAUCCAGGUUCCCUGGCUAAAGACCAGACACAAGGAAACACUUAACUGCCAGGGAAAUUGGGAAGCAUACUCUUGCCCAGGAAGAAUAAGAG